Molecule: ribosomal RNA, 388 nt
Filed under: uncultured bacterium
Lineage: Bacteria
Description: bacterial SSU rRNA
Rfam family: Bacterial small subunit ribosomal RNA
Source: RNAcentral
GACGAACGCUGGCGGCGUGCUUAACACAUGCAAGUCGAGCGGUAAGGCCCUUUCGGGGUACGACGAGCGGCGAACGGGUGAGUAACACGUGGGUGACCUGCCCUCAGCUCCGGGAUAAGCCUGGGAAACCGGGUCUAAUACUGGAUAUGACUCCAUGACGCAUGUUGUGGGGUGGAAAGCCUUGUGCGGCUGAGGAUGGGCCCGCGGCCUAUCAGCUUGUUGGUGGGGUGAUGGCCUACCAAGGCGACGACGGGUAGCCGGCCUGAGAGGGCGACCGGCCACACUGGGACUGAGACACGGCCCAGACUCCUACGGGAGGCAGCAGUGGGGAAUCUUGCGCAAUGGGCGAAAGCCUGACGCAGCGACGCCGCGUGAGGGAUGACGGCCU